RNAcentral lists this long non-coding RNA (1024 nucleotides) under Arabidopsis thaliana (thale cress). Its description in RNAcentral is "long non-coding RNA (ATHA_LNC000539)". The record is from RNAcentral. Lineage: Eukaryota; Viridiplantae; Streptophyta; Magnoliopsida; Brassicales; Brassicaceae.
GUAGGAACCUACGAGGUACACUGCAUAUCAAAGGGAUCUCUUGGUUCUUUUCUUUCUAUUUCCCACUUCUUUUAGUCCUUCAUGAAGAAAUGAUAUUUUUGUAGACUGAGAUAAACAGAGGAGAGGUGGCUAAUGGGCUCAACUGUUACAUGAAACAAUAUGGAGUUACCAAGGAGGAAGCAUCCCGAGAGUUGCGUAAAAUGUACGUAUACCGCAAAAAAGUGGUUGUGGAGGAGUUCAUGAACUCACAUGAUCAUGUGCCGCGUCAAGUUCUUCUGCGAUGCCUCAACAUUGCACGUAUCUUCGAUGUGUUCUACACGGAAGGUGAUGGAUACAGUGAACCCAAGGGCAAAAUCGAACACUUUAUGACAUCCUUGUACCUCCACCCUAUACCCCUUUCAUAAUGACGUGGAACACACACCAAUCUAGGUCUAUUCGGGGAUGCUUUGAAAUUAAAAAACAAAACAAAAGUAGUCCUUUGUUCUCUGUUUGUUCACUGUUACUCUAAGGCAUGACUACUGUCACUCUGGUAUCUGUCUAAACUCUUAAGAACUUUGAACACAACCAAACUAAUUUAACUAAACAUCGAGAAGUAAAAAGAGAUGGUACCUUGAGUUUUCUAUCUGUAAUUUCAUGGAGCCUCCAAAGUGCUUGUCCAUGACCAUGAUCUCAGAUUACUCUGCAUUGUUAAGUUUCAGAACAUCAAUAGCUCUUUUUAUAGUAGCAUUAUAAGCACUCAAUAGGCUAACAAAUUAACUCCUUCUCAUCACGAAUUAAAAAGAGAAUAUGAUUAAAAUGUUCUCUUUUCUCAGCAGUAAAUUGUAUAAUUCUCCGGCGGAAACAAAACACAAAGCUCGAAACUUUACCAUUAUAUUGGUUUCCCUCCGUAGUCUACGGCAAAGGAGAAAAAAAGCAGGAGCAAUCCGACCAGAUGGAAACGAUCAUUUCAGAAUCUUAUCAUGUCCUAACGACGGCGUCUCCGGCGAGGCACAUCGGUGAGAUAAGUGAGAAAAAUGGGUCUGUU